GGAAAAUGAGAGUCUCAGGGAGCUGGGAAGUGAUCCAGAAGGUUGACAAGAACAUGAUAAUUUCUGCCAGUUCCAGAUUGUGUGUAAGGGAUCAAACUCAGGACCUUGCGCUUGCAAGGAAGAUGGUGGAAUCACUGAGAUAAAUCCCCAGCCCAACCCUUGGUUUCGUCAACUGCAAAAUUCUACACUAACAGCUGCCGGUUAUUGAACAUGUUUUCACUGGCAAGGAGAUGAGCACUCUGCGUGAACAAUCUUGUUUAAUUGUCAACCACAGAGUCUUGCAGGGAUGCUGGUCAGCCAAAGCAGGGAGGGAGAAGCCUGUGGCAGGCAUUUUCUCCACACCAUCCAUGGAAGCAUUGCUCUCAUGUGCAUCUCUGUUGCUAGCAAAUCACAGUUCCGGAAUGCAUUUCCCCAUCUGUGAAAAUGGGAGCAGUCAGAGGGUUCUGUGAGGAUAGAGGCGGUGAUACUUGGCAUAGAUUUGGAUCGUCCCAAAUCCCCUGUAAAAGCAGAAACAAAAUCCC
Heterocephalus glaber (naked mole-rat) is the source of this 521-nucleotide long non-coding RNA. Lineage: Eukaryota; Metazoa; Chordata; Mammalia; Rodentia; Bathyergidae. The record is from Ensembl.